Molecule: long non-coding RNA, 536 nt
Organism: Culex quinquefasciatus (southern house mosquito)
Lineage: Eukaryota; Metazoa; Arthropoda; Insecta; Diptera; Culicidae
Exons: 3
Source: RefSeq, a predicted model, not a curated record
UGAACAAUCUUCUUUUUUCGCGUUUCGUUUUCACUGCGCGCUCCCUUGAAAGCUCAGUCGCCAUUGUGAAACCAGCUAAACAAGUUCGGACGAGUUGUCCGUCGCGAUUUUUUUCAUUUUCACGCUGAAAUGGACCUUUUUUGGAGAAUUGGUCAUUCCCAGUCUCAGGAAUUUGGGAAAAAACUACGGAUUGCUAUCUGUGUAAAAAUCUGCCCGCUGCAACGGUCUGCGACUCCCGGAUUCCGUUCUCUUUAAGUUUGAACCUGAAGCGAUCGCAUCCGGCAAAUGGCGAAACGGCCCUGGCCGGCAAGACAUGGUAUCUGGCAAUUCAUUCCCGGAUUUUGGCCAGAAAGAAGAGUGGAAGAGCUAAUUGCAGUUGCUUUCCCUGUCCUGCAUCCGGUGAUGCAGUCGAGAAGAAGCGGAAACGAUCCGGGAGGUUCAAAAUCGUUUUUCGGACUCUAAACUCACGUGAACCAACCUGACCGGAUUGAGCGAGACCUAGUGGCAUGCGGAUUUAUUUUUUAGAAGAAAAUAGU